RNAcentral lists this long non-coding RNA (324 nucleotides) under Gossypium barbadense (sea-island cotton). Its description in RNAcentral is "long non-coding RNA (GBAR_LNC010207)". The record is from RNAcentral. Lineage: Eukaryota; Viridiplantae; Streptophyta; Magnoliopsida; Malvales; Malvaceae.
UAGGUGCUGUUAAUCGCUUGUGGUGGAGUUUUUUGUAUUGGUGAGGUAGGAACAGGUUUUGGAACGAGGAGGUAAAUGAGUGAAGUUUUGUUAGGGCAAAUUGCAAAUAGUUUGCUAGCACGGAUGCCGUGGCAAUGUCGGGAAGACCAAGUCAACAUUUUUCUCGUAACAGUCCCAGUUCAAAUUCAAACUUGUACCUAAUAAAUCCCUCUAAAAGAGGAUAAGAGAAUCACAAGCAGUUAGCCGAAUGUAGCCUAAUCUAUCUAUAGAAACCGAUGAAAGGGACCUCAAGGGAUAGAAAGUCGAAUGUAGUCCUUCUUAGCC